Molecule: ribosomal RNA, 391 nt
Filed under: uncultured bacterium
Lineage: Bacteria
Description: bacterial SSU rRNA
Rfam family: Bacterial small subunit ribosomal RNA
Source: RNAcentral
AUUGAACGCUGGCGGCAUGCUUUACACAUGCAAGUCGAACGGCAGCGCGGGGGCAACCCUGGCGGCGAGUGGCGAACGGGUGAGUAAUGCAUCGGAACGUAUCCUGUAAUGGGGGAGUAACGUAGCGAAAGUUACGCUAAUACCGCAUACGCUCGAGAGAGGAAAGUGGGGGAUCGCAAGACCUCACGUUAUAGGAGCGGCCGAUGUCCGAUUAGCUAGUUGGUGGGGUAAAGGCCUACCAAGGCGACGAUCGGUAGCUGGUCUGAGAGGAUGAUCAGCCACACUGGGACUGAGACACGGCCCAGACUCCUACGGGAGGCAGCAGUGGGGAAUUUUGGACAAUGGGCGAAAGCCUGAUCCAGCCAUGCCGCGUGCAGGAAGAAGGCCUCGG